Podarcis lilfordi (Lilford's wall lizard) is the source of this 75-nucleotide non-coding RNA. Lineage: Eukaryota; Metazoa; Chordata; Lepidosauria; Squamata; Lacertidae. The record is from the annotation of a GenBank genome assembly.
UGCUCUGUGGCAUAGUGGGUCAGUGCAUCUGACUGUUAACUAGAAGGUUGGUGGUUCGAGCCCACUCAAGGACAG